RNAcentral lists this long non-coding RNA (205 nucleotides) under Elaeis guineensis (African oil palm). Its description in RNAcentral is "long non-coding RNA (EGUI_LNC002271)". Lineage: Eukaryota; Viridiplantae; Streptophyta; Magnoliopsida; Arecales; Arecaceae. The record is from RNAcentral.
GGCCGAUCUAGAGACAAAGCGGUUUAGCGAAGCGACCUUACUAGUGAGAUACUGUACAUCUUUAACAGUUCUUGGUGGUGUCAUCUCAAGAACUGUCUUGAUCUUCUUGGAAUUUGCCUCGAUGUCUCUUUGUGAGACCAUAAAUUCGAGAAAUUUAUCGAAGAUAACUCUGAAAUCGCACUUUGCUGGGCUCACCUCAUUUGGA